RNAcentral lists this long non-coding RNA (347 nucleotides) under Rattus norvegicus (Norway rat). Its description in RNAcentral is "long non-coding RNA NONRATT023792". Lineage: Eukaryota; Metazoa; Chordata; Mammalia; Rodentia; Muridae. The record is from RNAcentral.
GGGGUGACACUGAACCCCAGAUCCUCCUUUCCCUGACUCAUGGGUGCUGGGAUUGCAGGUGGCUGAUCAGAAGUGACAGAGAGCAUGACUAGAACAAACGUUGGCUAAUGGGCAGGGUUCCCCAGCGAGCAAAUGAUCAGGGAACUCCUGGACCCAGGAUCUGGGGCACAGCCCCAGAGGCCCACGUGGCAACCCCUGAAGAAGGAUCUAGUAGGUACCAGGCACAAACAUGGCGGACAGCCCUAGGAAGGGGAGGAAUGCCCCCAUGUUAUAUGAGAGAGUAACACAGAGUGCAAAUAAAUGGGCAUGAUAGCCACGAAGGGCCGGCCCACUAGGCUUUGCGUGAA